Molecule: ribosomal RNA, 325 nt
Filed under: uncultured eukaryote
Lineage: Eukaryota
Description: partial 18S ribosomal RNA
Rfam family: Eukaryotic small subunit ribosomal RNA
Source: RNAcentral
CCCUUAGAUGUUCUGGGCCGCACGCGCGCUACACUGAUGCAUUCAACGAGCCUAUCCUUGACCGACAGGUCCGGGUAAUCUUUGAAUCUGCAUCGUGACGGGGAUAGAUUAUUGCAAUUAUUAAUCUUCAACGAGGAGUGCCUAGUAGGCGCAAGUCAUCAGCUUGCGUCGAUUACGUCCCUGCCCUUUGUACACACCGCCCGUCGCUCCUACCGAUUGGGUGUGCUGGUGAAAUGUUCGGAUCGGCCGUUUGUCGCGGUUUCCGCGGCUCGUGGCUGAGAAGUUCAUUAAACCCUCCCACCGAGAGGAAGGAGAAGUCGUAACA